Long non-coding RNA from Varroa destructor (honeybee mite), 2560 nucleotides. RefSeq lists it as uncharacterized. The record is from RefSeq and is a predicted model, not a curated record. Lineage: Eukaryota; Metazoa; Arthropoda; Arachnida; Mesostigmata; Varroidae.
GGUAGCUUGGCUAGCAGACAAAAUUAUUAACAAUCCUUUACACAUCGUUAAUAAUGGAGUAACCCUAAUACCAUUUCGAAAGUAGAACUGCUGUCUAGCGUGCUGAACUCGUAUCGAUAAGUUUCAUCCGCCAGCAAGCAUAUCAAUGCAGGGCAACACCGGAAGGCUCCCUCCGUGAAAUAGCACGAAACUGGAAAGGCGUCGAAUGGAUGAGAAUUGGAAUAGGAUUUUGGAUUUGUUGAGUCUACGGCAAACCCUCUGUCGGAGUAUUUCUAGCUGCAAAAAAAAUUCACACUUGGUAAGUCCGAGCCCCGAGUACUUAAAAGCAAAAGGUGCUUUGAACCCGAUUUGAGUGACAACGGUACGCUGAAACAUAAGACCAUUACAUAAAGGCCUGCCGGAUACACUAGAGCUUACAAGGCGGCUUUUGCGGUUCUAUUGCACACGUGCUUCGACUGGUAGCAUAGCAGAUUCAUCGUGGCGGUUUCUUUAUUGUCGUCAACACGUGAGGCACCGUGUCAGAUCCAUAAACAGAGAGAGCUUGUUCGACUUUGGGCAACCCCACGUAGACGGCCCUACCUGGGCGGCCGUUCGCGACGAUGCUAGGCACCAAUUCAGAGCACCGUUAUGAUCUACCUCUGGAAGGCGCUACCCGCUGAUAAAUAACUGAGUGAACUACUCCACUUCCCAGAAAAGCAUUAGCGACGUUGCCCGUCUUGGCAGCACGAUCUAUUGGAACAAAACGAUACCGGCUUCGCUCGGAUAUCUUCCGUAAAAUAGGGAAGAAACGAAUCAUUCUAACCUUAUAACGUGACAAGCUGCCAAAAGUGACUACCGCUAUGAGUGCUUAGUAGAGCACAGAACCGAAUAGAUUGUAACAACCGCUUUUGGCUAGGAUUGUCACCAUUUUAUUAAGAGCACUUCUAAUCAAAUUUCAUAUCGGUAAGGCGUCAAUCGGCAAUAUCUGCUGGAGCAGCGGCUUCGUUCCUGUUACGGAAACUCCCGAAUUGUUUUUUGCUGCGUCGUGUACCUGCCCGUUAUGCACUACUAGCCUGCAUAGAUCAUCUAUUUGCAUGUAAAUAUAGUCGACAACAUUGCAAGGAUACGAUAUAAAUGGAUUGGGGAAAAAGCACAUAUUAAGCUAAUACUAAUCCGUGUUUUUGUGCUUAACAUUGGCCUAAGCUACCAAACAGUUAUGAGGUGCACCCACAAUAAUCGCUUUUUUACACCUUAGUUUAGGACACGGAGGCCUAACAAGAUGAGUCUCACCCUACGUAUGUGAGCGUGAUAUUUUUUCGAUCCCAUAAAGAAGGUCAGCAUUCAGCCUGAAGCCAAUUCGUUAACUAAAUCCACAAUUUUUUGCAGGCAGUAGCGCCUAGUGGACCUAGUAGCUCAAUACAGUACAAUACUUGAGCAUCGGUAACAGGACCUACGUGUGCUCCUUCUAAGGGCUUUCUAAGCUGUCGAAUUGAUCUCCUGUUUUGGGUUUUAUCUGCAGCUCACUACUCUCGAUAAAGUGUUGUCAACUACGAAUCCUUGGUUUCUGGAAGCGCUUGUUGGAUGGGCAUCGUCAACCAUCUAUGAGUAGUACUCAUAAUAUGUUAGUGCUGCUAUGCGUUUUUGACACUGAAAUGAAAGCCGAUCCUAACGGCAACGCGACUUGCGUAUCCUGCGAUCAGAGCAGUCUUUGCUUGAGAUAAUUGACUAGGGUAGUUAAGCGAUGUAAGAAAGCGCGAAGGCCGCACCUGUGAAGCCGGCCAGCGUUGAUGAGCAUGGCGACUAAACUUGGGCGGGACAUUUGAGCGAAUAGGCUCCUUGACCUCUUGACCCCGUAAACCUCUUCAAGCAAUAACGUCAUUGAAGAAGAUCAUCAACAGGCUAAUCAUUAGCGGUGUUGACCAUCUACUGGUCAUCGUUCGUGCGCCGCAUAGCUUUGUGUUAUAGUAAGUCUUUUGUUGUGGCCCGAACAGCCAGCGACACAGCUGUUGACUUCGACUGGCACAUUAUUAAACGUCAGUGCAUGAAAAUGGGUUGAAUUAAGAAUCCUGGGCGCCUGUAAGCUGCUAUGAACAUGCUUGCAAAUUAUUGAAUUUAAACGAAUAUGGAAAAUUGUGGGCAAGCUGAAUCAUUCUCUUCUUUAGGUUGAAUAAAUGCGAACGACUUCUUGUUAUCGCACUGGACCAGGUGAAAGAAAAAAAAAAAAAAAAAAAAAGGGUUUGUAGUACAGGUUCCGUCUUCUGCGAUGACAAAUUUAGCCGUUUGUGUAACAAACUAACGUCCCAAUUAGAUAGGUAAAAAGAUAUUUGUAGGCGGAUCUCCGAGACGAAUGGUUGCAAAAGAAUUAACUCUGUCACGUCAGUACGCGAUGACCGGGGGGUAUUUCUAUAACACGAUAACAAGCAUAAUUGUUGAUCGAUAUGCAAACACGAUUGAAAACGCUUGUGUUGCUCAUAGGGCAUUUGGAAAAUUAUUCCACAACCAAGUGUAUUGUAGUCCAUUCAAAUCGAUCGUAUGGAUUGAAUAGACCUUACUUUAAUCGGACCAAUGUUAUAGAUGAUGA